AAGGGUGCUUGCACCUUUCAAGUGAGUGGCGAACGGGUGAGUAACACGUGUGACAACCUGCCUCAAGGCUGGGGAUAACAUUUGGAAACAAAUGCUAAUACCGAAUAGAACUCAUUGUCUCAUGACACAAAGUUAAAAGGCGCUUUGGCGUCACCUAUAGAUGGAUCCGCGGUGCAUUAUUUAGUUGGUGGGGUAAAGGCCUACCAAGACAAUGAUGCAUAGCCGAGUUGAGAGACUGAUCGGCCACAUUGGGACUGAGACACGGCCCAAACUCCUACGGGAGGCUGCAGUAGGGAAUCUUCCACAAUGGGCGAAAGCCUGAUGGAGCAACGCCUCGUGUGUGAUGAAUGCUUUCGGGUCCUAAAGCACUGUUGUAUGGGAAGAACAGCUAGAAUACGGAAUGAUUUUAGUUUGACGGUACCAUACCAGAAAGGGACGGCUAAAUACGUGCCAGCAGCCGCGGUAAUACGUAUGUCCCGAGCGUUAUCCGGAUUUAUUGGGCGUAAAGCGAGCGCAUACGGUUGAUUAAGUCUGAUGUGAAAGCCCGGAUCUCAACUCCGGAAUGGCAUUGGAAACUGGUUAACUUGACUGCAGUAGAGGUAAGUGGAACUCCAUGUGUAGACGGUGGAAUGCGUAGAUAUAUGGAAGAACACCAGUGGCGAAGCGGCUUACUGGACUGUAACUGACGUUGAGGCUCGAAAGUGUGGGUAGCAAACAGGAUUAGAUACCCUGGUAGUCCAC
RNAcentral lists this ribosomal RNA (741 nucleotides) under Leuconostoc pseudomesenteroides. Its description in RNAcentral is "bacterial SSU rRNA". It matches the Rfam family "Bacterial small subunit ribosomal RNA", at positions 72 to 798 of the family's 1533-position model. Lineage: Bacteria; Bacillati; Bacillota; Bacilli; Lactobacillales; Lactobacillaceae. The record is from RNAcentral.